This 435-nucleotide unclassified non-coding RNA is filed under the name plant metagenome. Its description in RNAcentral is "partial contains 5.8S ribosomal RNA, internal transcribed spacer 2, and large subunit ribosomal RNA". The stretch from base 1 to 105 matches the Rfam family "5.8S ribosomal RNA", at positions 50 to 154 of the family's 154-position model. The record is from RNAcentral.
GAAAUGCGAUAAGUAAUGUGAAUUGCAGAAUUCAGUGAAUCAUCGAAUCUUUGAACGCACCUUGCGCUCCUUGGUAUUCCUUGGAGCAUGCCUGUUUGAGUAUCAUGAAAUCUUCAAAGUAAAUCUUUUGUUAACUCAAUUGGUUUCUACUUUGGUAUUGGAGGUCUUUGCAGCUUCACACCUGCUCCUCUUUGUUCAUUAGCUGGAUCUCAGUGUUAUGCUUGGUUCCACUCGGCGUGAUAAGUUAUCUAUCGCUGAGGACACUGUAAAAGGUGGCCAAGGUAAAUGCAGAUGAACCGCUUCUAAUAGUCCAUUGACUUGGACAAUACUUUUAUGAUCUGAUCGCAAAUCAGGUAGGACUACCCGCUGAACUUAAGCAUAUCAAUAAGCGGAGGACUGUCUCUUAUACCACAUCUCCGAAGCCCCACGAGACGC